This 464-nucleotide ribosomal RNA is filed under the name Vreelandella stevensii. RNAcentral's name for it is "partial 16S ribosomal RNA". It matches the Rfam family "Bacterial small subunit ribosomal RNA", at positions 338 to 794 of the family's 1533-position model. The record is from RNAcentral. Lineage: Bacteria; Pseudomonadati; Pseudomonadota; Gammaproteobacteria; Oceanospirillales; Halomonadaceae.
CCUACGGGUGGCAGCAGUGGGGAAUAUUGGACAAUGGGGGGAACCCUGAUCCAGCCAUGCCGCGUGUGUGAAGAAGGCCCUCGGGUUGUAAAGCACUUUCAGUGAGGAAGAACGCCUGGUGGUUAAUACCCAUCAGGAAAGACAUCACUCACAGAAGAAGCACCGGCUAACUCCGUGCCAGCAGCCGCGGUAAUACGGAGGGUGCGAGCGUUAAUCGGAAUUACUGGGCGUAAAGCGCGCGUAGGUGGCUUGAUAAGCCGGUUGUGAAAGCCCCGGGCUCAACCUGGGAACGGCAUCCGGAACUGUCAAGCUAGAGUGCAGGAGAGGAAGGUAGAAUUCCCGGUGUAGCGGUGAAAUGCGUAGAGAUCGGGAGGAAUACCAGUGGCGAAGGCGGCCUUCUGGACUGACACUGACACUGAGGUGCGAAAGCGUGGGUAGCAAACAGGAUUAGAUACCCCAGUAUC